Molecule: ribosomal RNA, 377 nt
Filed under: uncultured bacterium
Lineage: Bacteria
Description: bacterial SSU rRNA
Rfam family: Bacterial small subunit ribosomal RNA
Source: RNAcentral
AUACGUAGGGGGCGAGCGUUGUCCGGAAUUACUGGGUGUAAAGGGCGUGUAGGCGGGGAUGCAAGUUAUCGGUCAAAACCCGGGGCUCAACCUCGGGCUUGCCGGUAAAACUGUAUCUCUUGAGUAUAGGAGAGGGAAGUGGAAUUCCCGGAGUAGCGGUGAAAUGCGUAGAUACCGGGAGGAACACCAGUGGCGAAGGCGGCUUCCUGGCCUAUUACUGACGCUGAGGCGCGAAAGCUAGGGUAGCGAACGGGAUUAGAUACCCCGGUAGUCCUAGCCGUAAACGAUGGUUACUAGGUGUGGGUGGUGGUCAAGCCAUCCGUGCCGGAGCUAACGCAAUAAGUAACCCACCUGGGGAGUACGGCCGCAAGGUUGAA